UGGGGAAUAUUGGACAAUGGGCGAAAGCCUGAUCCAGCCAUGCCGCGUGUGUGAAGAAGGCCUUAUGGUUGUAAAGCACUUUAAGCGAGGAGGAGGGUACUGGUAUUAAUACUACCAGGUACUGGACGUUACUCGCAGAAUAAGCACCGGCUAACUCUGUGCCAGCAGCCGCGGUAAUACAGAGGGUGCAAGCGUUAAUCGGAAUUACUGGGCGUAAAGCGCGCGUAGGUGGUUCGUUAAGUUGAAUGUGAAAGCCCCGGGCUCAACCUGGGAACUGCAUCCAAAACUGGCGAGCUAGAGUAGGGCAAAGGGUGGUGGAAUUUCCUGUGUAGCGGUGAAAUGCGUAGAUAUAGGAAGGAACACCAGUGGCGAAGGCGACCACCUGGGCUCAUACUGACACUGAGGUGCGAAAGCGUGGGGAGCAAACAGG
RNAcentral lists this ribosomal RNA (430 nucleotides) under Pseudomonadota bacterium. Its description in RNAcentral is "Proteobacteria bacterium partial 16S ribosomal RNA". It matches the Rfam family "Bacterial small subunit ribosomal RNA", at positions 355 to 776 of the family's 1533-position model. Lineage: Bacteria; Pseudomonadati; Pseudomonadota. The record is from RNAcentral.